GAUGAACGCUAGCGGCAGGCUUAACACAUGCAAGUCGAGGGGUAGAGGAAGCUUGCUUCCUUGAGACCGGCGCACGGGUGCGUAACGCGUAUACAAUCUACCUUUUACAGAGGGAUAGCCCAGAGAAAUUUGGAUUAAUACCUCAUAGUGUUAUUAGAUGGCAUCAUUUGAUAACUAAAGUUCCAACGGUAAAGAUGGGCAUGCGUCCUAUUAGCUAGAUGGUAAGGUAACGGCUUACCAAGACAAUGAUGGGUAGGGUCCUGAGAGGGAGAUCCCCCACACUGGUACUGAGGCACGGACCAGACUCCUACGGGAGGCAGCAGUGAGGAAUAUUGGACAAUGGGCGCAAGCCUGAUCCAGCCAUGCCGCGUGCAGGAUGACGGUCCUAUGGAUUGUAAACUGCUUUUAUACAGGAAGAAACACUACUUCGUGAAGUAGCUUGACGGUACUGUAAGAAUAAGGAUCGGCUAACUCCGUGCCAGCAGCCG
Molecule: ribosomal RNA, 488 nt
Filed under: uncultured bacterium
Lineage: Bacteria
Description: bacterial SSU rRNA
Rfam family: Bacterial small subunit ribosomal RNA
Source: RNAcentral